Molecule: long non-coding RNA, 1703 nt
Filed under: Jatropha curcas
Lineage: Eukaryota; Viridiplantae; Streptophyta; Magnoliopsida; Malpighiales; Euphorbiaceae
Description: long non-coding RNA (JCUR_LNC003250)
Source: RNAcentral
UUUGCCGAUACUGUCUUACACUUUGCUGUAUUCUUUAUAAUGAUUAUACAAGUUAGAAUUUGAAAGACUAAGCUACUGCUUUACUUCAAUCAAAUGACUUAUAAGACAUUUUUCUUUUAUAGACCAACUACUGGUGGUGCUACUCCACCUGCUGCUGCUAAGGCUUGAAUGUAGAGCUGAUAGGCUAAGAAGAUAAAUUGUUUAUCAGGCAGGUGAUUUCUCAUUAAUGAUAUUUUUUUAUUCGGUAUUUUAGGGGAUGGGCUCCUACACUGCUUGGUUACAGUGCUCAGGGUGCUUUCAAAUAUGGACUCUACGAAUUUUUCAAGAAGUACUAUUCUGACAUUGCUGGGCCUGAAUAUGCAACCAAGUAUAAAACUUUGAUUUAUCUUGCUGGUUCUGCAUCUGCUGAAGUGAUUGCUGAUGUUGCUCUCUGCCCUAUGGAGGCAGUGAAGGUUCGUGUGCAAACUCAGCCUGGUUUUGCACGUGGCUUGGCCGAUGGGAUGCCCAAGUUUAUCAGAGCAGAAGGCUAUGCUGGGUAUGGCAUCCGUAUCUGAAAUCCUUUGUUUUCUCAUUGUUAACUAAUUUUUCAGGAUUUCUUGUAAAGGAAUUUAUAUGAUCAAUUCUUAAUGCUCACAGGUUAUACAAAGGGCUGGUUCCACUCUGGGGACGUCAGAUUCCAUGUAAGCUGAAACAUUUUCAAUUAUUUCAUGUUGCAUAUAUAUAGUUUUUUGUGCAUAAAGUAAAAUUCAUUUGUUACCACCUUUUACUGUCUAAUUUGUUUAGAAACCUUUGGAAGUUCAGAACUACGUAUAGGCUGGUCACCAGUGGCGUACUAGUCCGUUUACACCUACAUGAACUUAAAUGAAUGUGUUCAUUACAUGAAUUUCAAUCAUCCCCUUGCAUUAGAAGCUAAAAGUCAAAAUUGGUAAUUCGCAGAUACAAUGAUGAAAUUUGCAUCCUUUGAGAAUAUAGUGGAGCUGAUGUACAAAUAUGCAAUCCCAACUCCAAAAGACAAAUGCAGUAGAAGUUUGCAGCUUGGAGUCAGCUUUGCUGGUGGAUAUUUUGCUGGUGUUCUCUGUGCUGUUGUCUCGCAUCCUGCUGACAAUUUGGUGUCUUUCCUGAACAAUGCCAAGGGGGCAACUGCUGGUGAUGUGAGUGAAUUUCUCUAUUUAUGAAUAUUUUUCUUUUACUUGAGUUUCUACUCCAUUUGUUCUGUUUUCACCAGCAUUUCUUUCCUUAACGCUUUGGUCUGCUACAGGCGAUCAAGAAGCUAGGAUGGUGGGGUCUCUUCACCCGCGGUCUUCCUCUCCGGAUUGUCAUGAUUGGAACCCUUACUGGAGUCCAAUGGGGUAUCUACGAUUCUUUCAAAGUGUUUUUUGGGCUGUAAGUACCCUCUUGUUAUCUUUCUUUGCCGAUACUGUCUUACACUUUGCUGUAUUCUUUAUAAUGAUUAUACAAGUUAGAAUUUGAAAGACUAAGCUACUGCUUUACUUCAAUCAAAUGACUUAUAAGACAUUUUUCUUUUAUAGACCAACUACUGGUGGUGCUACUCCACCUGCUGCUGCUAAGGCUUGAAUGUAGAGCUGAUAGGCUAAGAAGAUAAAUUGUUUAUCAGGCAGGUGAUUUCUCAUUAAUGAUAUUUUUUUAUUCGGUAUUUGUGAGGUGAUUUCUCAUUAAUGGAUGUAUAAUAGUUGAUUGAGUUG